GAUUCUCCCUGACAGUCUCUCUCUCUCCCCCAGACGCCACUGCCCCCUCGCUGCCCCCCAUGCCAGAACGGGGGGCGCUGCCAGCUGGGCGGCCCCUCCCCACCCCACUGCCGCUGCCCCCCAGCCUGGGGCCCUAUGCCAGCAGCCAGAGAGCCCCUGCCAGGCAGCCGCCCAGAGACGAGGUGCUGAGGGGGGGCCAGGGGGAGGGGCAGUGGGGGGAAGGGAGGCUCUGGGGGGAUAUGGGGGUCAGCUCGAGCUGGGGGCUCAUUGGCCUGCUGUGCCCCCAGGGGUGCCGCUGGAGGAGCUGUGUGGGAACGGGGGGCACUGCAUGGACGAGGGGGGGACCCCGCGCUGCUCCUGCCCCACAGGCUGGGGGGGCCCAUCCUGCCGCAAGGAGGCCGAUCGGUGCCAACCGGACCCCUGUGAACAUGGGGCCACCUGCCUGGCCCGGCCCGGGGGCUACGUCUGCCAGGUGAGCUCCCCGGAUGCCGGGGUCCCUCCCCGGAUGCUGGGGUUCCUCGGCCCUGCUCUUGGGGAGGGACCCUGCAUGGGCUGACCCCCGACCUCUCCCCACUGCAGUGCCUGCCUGGGCAGCGCGGGGUGAACUGUUCAGAGCUGGGGCCCGGGGGGCCCUGCCACCCCCAGCCCUGCCAGAAUGGGGGCACCUGCACCUUUCGCCCCACCGGCCCCCACUGCGCCUGCCCCUCUGGUACUCAAGGUCCGUCGUGUUCCUGGUGGUGGAUGGGUCCCGCUGCGCCGGUCGCUGCCUGACGACCCCCGAGGGCGCCCGGCGCUUCCUGGGGGCUCUGGCUGCCUCCAACGCUCUGGGGGCGCUGACCCCCCACCCCGUGGCGGCCGUGUGGGUCGAAGAGGCCAACAGUGGCUGACGCCCCCCCCCUCGGACCAGGACCGCUGGCACUGGACAUGCAAGGACCCAAGUGCCGGGGCUCCCGUCCCACAAUGCAUCAUGCUGACCCUGCCCCAGGAUGAGGCCCCCGAGGGGCGGGACCUCGAUGCCAGGGGGCCAGAUGGGGUGACGCCGCUGAUGGCAGCGGUGUGCGCGGGGGGCGCCGUGGGGGAGCUGUUGGCGCAGGGGGCACGGCUGGACGCCCAG
This 1114-nucleotide long non-coding RNA is filed under the name Gopherus agassizii (Agassiz's desert tortoise). Its description in RNAcentral is "lncRNA (ENSGAGG00000006488.1)". Lineage: Eukaryota; Metazoa; Chordata; Testudines; Testudinidae. The record is from RNAcentral.